GACGAACGCUGGCGGCGUGCUUAACACAUGCAAGUCGAACGGAAAGGCCCGCUUGCGGGUACUCGAGUGGCGAACGGGUGAGUAACACGUGGGCAACCUGCCCUCAGCUCUGGGAUAACUCCGGAAACCGGUGCUAAUACUGGAUACGACUGCGCAUCGCAUGGUGUGUGGUGGAAAGUUUUUCGGCUGAGGAUGGGCCCGCGGCCUAUCAGCUUGUUGGUGGGGUAAUGGCCUACCAAGGCGACGACGGGUAGCCGGCCUGAGGGGGCGACCGGCCACACUGGGACUGAGACACGGCCCAGACUCCUACGGGAGGCAGCAGUGGGGAAUAUUGCGCAAUGGGCGAAAGCCUGACGCAGCGACGCCGCGUGAGGGAUGACGGCCUUCGGGUUGUAAACCUCUUUCAGCUCUGACGAAGCGAAAGUGACGGUAGGAGCAGAAGAAGCACCGGCCAACUACGUGCCAGCAGCCGCCGUAA
RNAcentral lists this ribosomal RNA (478 nucleotides) under uncultured bacterium. RNAcentral's name for it is "partial 16S ribosomal RNA". It matches the Rfam family "Bacterial small subunit ribosomal RNA", at positions 28 to 523 of the family's 1533-position model. The record is from RNAcentral.